Non-coding RNA from Cyanistes caeruleus (blue tit), 1309 nucleotides. The record is from RefSeq and is a predicted model, not a curated record. NCBI's taxonomy places the organism in Eukaryota, Metazoa, Chordata, Aves, Passeriformes, Paridae.
CUGUCACUUGUCACCUGGGAGAAGAGACUGACCCCCACCUGGCUAUGACCUCCUUUCCAAUAGGAAUGACCUCUUGUAAGUGAUCCUACUUUGAGAAGUGGGGCUGGACCACACCACUCCCAGAGACGCCCUGGAGCCUCAACCAUUCUAAUUCAGAUCUGUGGCAAGUGAAAGAGGAAAAUUCUGGACUACUCAGUAGCUAGGCAAGAGUAGGUAAUGGGCUGCAUGGAAGAUGACUCAAUGAAACAUCCCAGCAUGAGUCAUUAUAGCCUAAGAAAGAAAACACAUGAAGUGGCAAAUCAGAUGGUUUGAUGGACUGUGUUGCUGCUCCAUGUAACUUUGUGUAUGUAGGAUCUCUGGCGAUUUUCCUGGGUGCUCUUCCAGCUGCUUCCUGCUAAGUGCCUUCAAGAUGACAGAACCACCCUGAACUGAGUAUCCAGAAGGAUCCAUCCCUUGGUCCUUGUGUAGCUGCCCCUGCAGGGGAAUCAACACAAGAGGAAAUGCAGAUGCAUGGUGACACUAUCCUUUUGCUUCCUGAGGUUUCCAAGGCACUGGUUUGGGACUGGCAGACACAGGACAGGACUUACAGAGAUCUCUCCUCUUGGGGAAUGAAUAAAAGAUAGUUGAUCACCAGAAGUCUUCUUGCCUUCUAAGAUGGUCAUUCCCAGCUGGUACAAGUUUGGUACAAGAACUAACUGGAUAUUGCAUUCAUGCCUAACGUCUAGCUCAAGAAAAGUGCUGAAUAAUCUGUAUAUUUGAAGAAAAUACCACAAGAAGUAAGUGAUCACAUCAAAAAAAACCUAAACAGUUAUUGCCCAAGGCUCUGUUAGAUAGGUUAGAUAAAAAACAAAAGAAGAUGGUCUGACAUCCAAACAGGUAUUUAAAUUCUGUCCAGUGAAUUAUACCCCAGAGUGCCUCUUUCUUGCCUUUAGUUAUAAAGGUGUCAGACAAGUCCCUCAGAAACAGAUGCCAUAUUGCACUCCCCUAAAUUCAAUUGAGAUGUCUGACCACUGAUGUGAAGACUGUCACUCAAAGGGGUCCAGGGAGGUUAUUAGCCUCUGGAAGACUUUCUUCUUAACCUAUAUUCACCCUAUGUUUGCUCAAGUUUUCUAAGCAGCUAGGUGUUCUCCUGAGCCCAGUUGGAAGCCCAUUCUGGAAGAGAAUGAGUUGUUCUGGUCAUUUUAACAUAUUCAAUUGCUUCUGAACUUUGCUGUCAGAGGAAACAUGGAAACUUAGAAGGCUGCAGAAGAAAAAGAACUCAUCUGAAAUUACAGAAAAGAGGCAAUUUAAAGUGGAAGCCAAAGGGGAA